GCCAGUGUGGUGUAGUGAUUUGGGUGUUGGACUAGGACUCUAGAGAUGGGGGUUGAAAUCCACCCACAGCCA
Molecule: non-coding RNA, 72 nt
Organism: Phrynosoma platyrhinos (Desert horned lizard)
Lineage: Eukaryota; Metazoa; Chordata; Lepidosauria; Squamata; Phrynosomatidae
Source: the annotation of a GenBank genome assembly